UCCUGGUAUAUGGUAGCCAGGUGAGUCAAUCAUAAGACAAAGUUAUCAUGAAAUAGAGUUAAUAGGGUAUAGGCUUAGGGUAUGGCAGAUGGAAGGUGUAACAUAUGAAAGAAGUUAAGCAGAUUUUUUGAAUUCUGAUUUUCUGGGUGGUUCCCCUUGUCAUAUAAUGAACUAUUACAUUUCAUUUCUGAAGAACUGAAGAGAUUAAAGCAUUCAUCUGUAGCUCAUGAAUUACUCUGAAAGCUAUUCAGAAUUUAAAUGUUAUAGCUGGUCUCUCAUUUUUCAUCGUCUAAUAAAUGAGUUUAUGAAUAAACAAAUGAGUUCAUAUAUUCCAAACAACAGAUCAUUCAUGUUCCCCCAAUUCCUUCAUUUAUUCAAUGGAUAUUACUGAUCUACAGAGGGUUGGGCUUUAUACUAAACGGCAGCCUGAAUGAGACUAACAUUUUCUAUGCCCCCAUGGAAUAUACAAAUCAGUAAGAACACAGGCAUUAAACAAAGGUAUUUGUUUGUUAAUAGAACUAUAUAAAUGAAAUGAGCUGUGGAAAAGAACCAGAGAACAGGUGAGUGGGGAGUUACAUCAGACAGCGAAGCCAGCAAAAGCUCCCGAAGAAGGCAUCAGGUCCUAACCUAGGACCUGAGGUACCAGGAGCAGGCCAGGCAUGUGGAAAAACUUUCCAAACAGUAGAAAUAGCAAGUGCAAAGGUGCUGAGUCAGGAAGGGUUUCAGGAAGUGACAGAAAGCCAUUGAUGUCAGGCAGAGAAAGCAAGGAACACGGUGGCAAGAGAUGAAUUAGGGCUAGGGAGGAGGGCCUCUCCAAGCCAAGCAAGGGAAGAUCCCACAAGCAUGUUCUGUUCCGUGGAUCAAUCAGCUCCAAACCAAAGUAGACAUGUUGUCGACUCCAGUGCCUGGAAAUCCUGCUGCAGGCUCACCAGAUGAUGAAAACUGAGGGAAGCGUUAUUUGGAUGCAGGCUCUUGCUGUGGCUGCUGUGAUCUUCUCCAAGUAACUAGCUACCUGAAUGGAUCUUAGAUCUUCCAAUCAAAUGGAUGACAAGGAGUGAAAAGACAUGACCAGUGAACUCCUGUGGAAACAAGGAAAGCAAGUUUGAAAGCAAGAGAGACUGGGGGUGGGAGCAGGAAUGAGGGAAGAGAACUAUGGUGAAGACCCCAAAAUUAAUUUUUAGAAAUGACCUCCCAGUAAAGUCUCUUACUUAUAAGCCAUGCCAACUUAUAAGGCAAAAUAAAAUCUGAGGCUAUAUAAAAAUGUAAUUAAAAAAAUAAAUAAAAAUAUAUUUGAAUGAAAAAUGAGAGAAUUCUAAACUCAGAAAAAAUUAUGACAGGAACAAGCAACUGCAUUAUUGCAAAGGCAAACAUGAUACACCACAACAAUAUAAAUGAAUCUCAUAUGCAUUAUUCAUUUGCAUCACUAUAUGCAAGACCAAGGUAUUAUAUGUGCAUAUAUGCAUUAUGCAUACAGUUAAAGUGAAAGAAGCCCAACUCAAAGGCUACACACUGUAUGAUUCUAUUUAUAAGAUAGACUUGAAUGUGGUAUAUGUAUACAAUGGAAUAUUAUUCAGCCAUAGGAGAGGAGGGUAUCUUGCCACUUGUGACAGCAUGGGUGGACCCUGAGCACAUUAUGCUAAGUGAGAUAAGUCAAAGACAAGUACUGAUUCUUACAUACAAUCUGAAAAAGUCACACUUAUAAAACACCAACUAAAAUGGUGGUUACUCUGGGAUGGGGUGUUAGGGAUUAAGAUUAAUGUCACUUAAGGGUACAAACUUGCAACUUGCUUAUAAACAAGUCAUAGAGAUCUAAUGUAUAUGGGAUAUAGACAACAAUGUGGCACCACAGUUAUGUAAUGUGAUAAAUGUCACUACAAUGGCAAUCAUGUUAUGAUAUAUAAACACAUCAAAGUAACACACUAGACACCAUAAAUUUAUACAGUGUAAAAUUUGCCUUAAAAAAAAAAAAAGCAGACUUGAGAGAACAAAACUAUAGGGACAGAAAACAGAUCAAUGGUUACCAGGGCCUGGAAGAUGAGGAAAAAAGGCUGACUAAAAGCCAUAUGGAAAAAUUUUGUAACAUGAUUUUGUUAAAAUAUACAGAACUUUACACUAAAAAGGGGUUAAUUUUGCCAUACGUAAA
This is a long non-coding RNA of Acinonyx jubatus (cheetah), 2143 nucleotides long. RefSeq lists it as uncharacterized. The record is from RefSeq and is a predicted model, not a curated record. The transcript is spliced from 4 exons. NCBI's taxonomy places the organism in Eukaryota, Metazoa, Chordata, Mammalia, Carnivora, Felidae.